UACGUAGGCAGCGAGCGUUGUUCGGAGUUACUGGGCGUAAAGGGUGCGUAGGCGGUUGUUUAAGUUUGGUGUGAAAUCUCCCGGCUCAACUGGGAGGGUGCGCCGAAUACUGAAUGACUAGAGUGCGGGAGAGGAUAGUGGAAUUCCUGGUGUAGCGGUGAAAUGCGUAGAUAUCAGGAGGAACACCGGUGGUGUAGACGGCUAUCUGG
RNAcentral lists this ribosomal RNA (209 nucleotides) under uncultured bacterium. Its description in RNAcentral is "partial 16S ribosomal RNA". It matches the Rfam family "Bacterial small subunit ribosomal RNA", at positions 524 to 732 of the family's 1533-position model. The record is from RNAcentral.